GAUGAACGCUGGCGGCGUGCCUAAUACAUGCAAGUCGAGCGAACAGACGAGGAGCUUGCUCCUCUGACGUUAGCGGCGGACGGGUGAGUAACACGUGGAUAACCUACCUAUAAGACUGGGAUAACUUCGGGAAACCGGAGCUAAUACCGGAUAAUAUAUUGAACCGCAUGGUUCAAUAGUGAAAGACGGUUUUGCUGUCACUUAUAGAUGGAUCCGCGCCGCAUUAGCUAGUUGGUAAGGUAACGGCUUACCAAGGCGACGAUGCGUAGCCGACCUGAGAGGGUGAUCGGCCACACUGGAACUGAGACACGGUCCAGACUCCUACGGGAGGCAGCAGCAGGGAAUCUUCCGCAAUGGGCGAAAGCCUGACGGAGCAACGCCGCGUGAGUGAUGAAGGUCUUCGGAUCGUAAAACUCUGUUAUGAGGGAAGAACAAAUGUGUAAGUAACUAUGCACGUCUUGACGGUACCUAAUCAGAAAGCCACGGCUAACUACGUG
Molecule: ribosomal RNA, 497 nt
Filed under: uncultured bacterium
Lineage: Bacteria
Description: partial 16S ribosomal RNA
Rfam family: Bacterial small subunit ribosomal RNA
Source: RNAcentral